This 629-nucleotide ribosomal RNA is filed under the name uncultured Bacteroidales bacterium. RNAcentral's name for it is "bacterial SSU rRNA". It matches the Rfam family "Bacterial small subunit ribosomal RNA", at positions 87 to 714 of the family's 1533-position model. Lineage: Bacteria; Pseudomonadati; Bacteroidota; Bacteroidia; Bacteroidales. The record is from RNAcentral.
GAUGGCGACCGGCGCACGGGUGAGCAACGCGUAUCCAACCUGCCCCUUACUCCGGCACAGCCCGUCGAAAGGCGGAUUAAUGCGGGAUGCAGUCAGAAUGAUGCAUAUUGCUUUGACAAAAGGUUUUCCGGUAAGGGAUGGGGAUGCGUCCGAUUAGCUUGACGGCGGGGUAACGGCCCACCGUGGCGACGAUCGGUAGGGGUUCUGAGAGGAAGGUCCCCCACAUUGGAACUGAGACACGGUCCAAACUCCUACGGGAGGCAGCAGUGAGGAAUAUUGGUCAAUGGGCGAGAGCCUGAACCAGCCAAGUAGCGUGCAGGAAGACGGCCCUAUGGGUUGUAAACUGCUUUUGUAUGGGAAUAAAGUUGCGUACGUGUACGCAUUUGCAUGUACCAUACGAAUAAGGACCGGCUAAUUCCGUGCCAGCAGCCGCGGUAAUACGGAAGGUCCGGGCGUUAUCCGGAUUUAUUGGGUUUAAAGGGAGCGUAGGCCGUCUCAAAAGCGUGUUGUGAAAUGUCCCGGCUCAACCGGGGCCGUGCAGCGCGAACUGUGAGACUUGAGUGUGCGGAAGGUAUGCGGAAUUCGUGGWGUAGCGGUGAAAUGCUUAGAUAUCACGAAGAACUCCGAUU